This 1437-nucleotide long non-coding RNA is filed under the name Zostera marina. RNAcentral's name for it is "long non-coding RNA (ZMAR_LNC002892)". Lineage: Eukaryota; Viridiplantae; Streptophyta; Magnoliopsida; Alismatales; Zosteraceae. The record is from RNAcentral.
ACUUGAGCUCUUGACGUAGACACGUGCUCCGCACCGUGGAAGCCUUUCCGGGGGUCCGGCAUAUAGCGACGGAACCCUAUUCCUUGUCGAAGGGCGUUGCUGGGAGUGACUGACGUGUUCAGGCAUGUCUCACCAGUACUCCCCCCUGAAGAGAGCAUGGCAAAACACCCGUGUAGCCUCAGUCUCCCCCCCCCGAGCAAGGUGAUCCGCAUCAAGGCCAAAGCGACAAGAUGGGAUCGAGUCAAUGUGGCCACAGUGACACAAUGACUCCGUUACCCAUGCAUUAUCAGAUGGGUUGAUUCACUUAUUAGAAUCUAGUUCCAGGCCAAUAGAACUACGUGUUUAUAGUCCGACUCUGAUCAGGAGCGACUCUUUCUGUGUUAUCAUCAAGGCCAAAGCGACAAGAUGAAGGGAGAUUAUUAAGGCCAAAGCGACAAAACAACUCCCAUCCAUUAAGGCCAAAGCGACAAAAUGGAGUGACUCAUUAUCAGAGUCUGAUUCUGGCCCAAGCGACAGAAUGCGUGGAUCCUGGCCAAAGCGACAGGAUCUGGUUCAUUAUCAGAACCCAUGUUUAUAGUCCACCCUGAUCAAGAGCGACUUUAUGUCCGCAACGACGGUUACCCCACUAAGGCCAAAGCGACAAAGUGGGUCGAGAUCAUUAAGGCCAAAGCGACAAAAUGAUCUCCAAGUCUAUCAAGGCCAAAGCGACAAGAUAGAAGAAUUAUUGAGGCCAAAGCGACAAAAUAAUUCUUUGGUCCAUUGAGGCCAUAGCGACAAAAUGGACCGACUCGUUUAGAGUCUGAUUCUGGCCGAAGCGACAGAAUGCGUGGAUCCUGGCCGAAGCGACAGGAUCGUUCCUGCAAAACAAAAAUAACCUGCAAAACAACUGUAUCAGUCUAAAGGAUAUAUUUAUUGACUUACUAACCUUGCCGUGAGGGGCUGCUUCUUGUGCCGCUCCUUCCCACGCUCAAUAACUCCUCGAUUGAUCUGGCCGAAGCGACAGAUCUAUCGUGCUCAAUGUUUGACGUCUUCUGGCCAAAGCGACAGAAGUGUUGGGAAGAGUUUGUGAUACUCCCCCCCGAGUUUGACGACUUCUGGCCGAAGCGACAGAAGUGUCAGGAAGAACUUGGGAUACUCCCCCCCGAGUUUGACGACUUCUGGCCGAAGCGACAGAAGUGUCAGGAAGAACUUGGGAUUCUCCCCCUUGAGAUCAUUAAGGCCGAAGCGUUAAAAUGACCUCUGGUCUACUAAGGCCAAAGCGACAAAGUAGACCGACUCCCUAUCAGAGUCUGAUUCUGACCAGAGUUACAGAUCCACUAUCAGGAUCCGAUCCUCGCCUUGGGUGCAGAACCUGUUGAUUCACUAAUAGAAUCUGACUCCUGUCGGGGCUACGAAUUCACUUUUAGAAUCCGAUCCUAACCCGGACUACGGAAUCUA